This 487-nucleotide long non-coding RNA is filed under the name Apteryx rowi (Okarito brown kiwi). RNAcentral's name for it is "lncRNA (ENSARWG00000013432.1)". Lineage: Eukaryota; Metazoa; Chordata; Aves; Apterygiformes; Apterygidae. The record is from RNAcentral.
GUUGGGUGGUUGGUAGCUCAGUGAAUUAAGAUUGAUUUUGUCUCCUCGGUGUUGAGUGCUGCUGCCUGCAUAAAAGAGGAAAAAGUCACAGUAAUAUGAAGAGAAAAAGAGGAGUGCAAAGAGUAUACUCCUUACUUGGCUGACCAGAAAGAGAAGAUUUUUGUGGUUUAGCAUCCUGGGAGAUAGAGAAUAAUCAAAGGAAAAAAGAGGAGAGAACAGAGCAGAUAUGAAAGUGGAAAAGAAAUAGAAGGGCAAGGAGGAAGAGACAGAAAGAAGGAGGCAGGAGGAGCAAAAGAGAAAAACAGGAGUGUACAGUGUUGGGAAAAAAAAGGUCUGAAAGCGCUCAAGGUGAAAUCUAUUACAGGAUGAACCAGAGAACACCUGAAGUCUGAAUAAUAGUCAGUUAUGACUUUGAACUCUUAAGCACCUACUUCUUGCAUUAUGUGAGUGUGUUUAAAAAUGCUAAAUAAAUGUGUAUCAGUUAUCA